CGCGUAGGCGGAACAUACAGUCAGAUGUGAAAUUCCCGGGCUCAACCUGGGGGCUGCAUUUGAUACGUGUGAUCUUGAGUGAGGAAGAGGGUCGUGGAAUUCCCAGUGUAGAGGUGAAAUUCGUAGAUAUUGGGAAGAACACCGGUGGCGAAGGCGGCGACCUGGUCCUUUACUGACGCUGAGACGCGAAAGCGUGGGGAGCAAACA
This 207-nucleotide ribosomal RNA is filed under the name uncultured bacterium. RNAcentral's name for it is "partial 16S ribosomal RNA". It matches the Rfam family "Bacterial small subunit ribosomal RNA", at positions 568 to 774 of the family's 1533-position model. The record is from RNAcentral.